This is a long non-coding RNA of Juglans regia (Persian walnut), 301 nucleotides long. RefSeq lists it as uncharacterized. The transcript has 3 exons. NCBI's taxonomy places the organism in Eukaryota, Viridiplantae, Streptophyta, Magnoliopsida, Fagales, Juglandaceae. The record is from RefSeq and is a predicted model, not a curated record.
UAAACUUGGUAGUGCUUUUCUGGUUAUCCAGCGUCUGAUGACACUCAAAAGUCCCACAGAUCAAGGCACAGAAUGCAUAAAUCAUCCGGCUCAUCACAUAGGACUAUGAGCAGAUCACUCUCCUGUGACUCACAAUCUAAGGGAUCUAUUUCUACUCCUCGUGGGUCCAUGAAGGUUGACUUGAGCAAACUGGAGAUGGCUGCUUUGAGGAGAUAUUGGCGACACUUUAAUCUUGUGGAUGCUAUCCCUAAUCCAUCAAAAGAGCAACUGGUAGAUGUUGUUCAGAGGCAUUUCAUGUCAC